GAUGAACGCCGGCGGUGUGCCUAAUACAUGCAAGUUGUACGCACUGGCCCAACUGAUUAAUGGUGCUUGCACCUGAUUGACGAUGGAUCACCAGUGAGUGGCGGACGGGUGAGUAACACGUAGGUAACCUGCCCCGGAGCGGGGGAUAACAUUUGGAAACAGAUGUUAAUACCGCAUAACAACAAAAGCCACAUGGCUUUUGUUUGAAAGAUGGCUUCGGCUAUCACUCUGGGAUGGACCUGCGGUGCAUUAGCUAGUUGGUAAGGUAACGGCUUACCAAGGCGAUGAUGCAUAGCCGAGUUGAGAGACUGAUCGGCCACAAUGGAACUGAGACACGGUCCAUACUCCUACGGGAGGCAGCAGUAGGGAAUCUUCCACAAUGGGCGCAAGCCUGAUGGAGCAACACCGCGUGAGUGAAGAAGGGUUUCGGCUCGUAAAGCUCUGUUGUUGGAGAAGAACGUGCGUGAGAGUAACUGUUCACGCAGUGACGGUAUCCAACCAGAAA
This 505-nucleotide ribosomal RNA is filed under the name uncultured bacterium. Its description in RNAcentral is "SSU rRNA". It matches the Rfam family "Bacterial small subunit ribosomal RNA", at positions 28 to 489 of the family's 1533-position model. The record is from RNAcentral.